RNAcentral lists this ribosomal RNA (253 nucleotides) under uncultured bacterium. Its description in RNAcentral is "partial 16S ribosomal RNA". It matches the Rfam family "Bacterial small subunit ribosomal RNA", at positions 524 to 776 of the family's 1533-position model. The record is from RNAcentral.
UACGUAGGGUGCAAGCGUUGUCCGGAAUUAUUGGGCGUAGAGAGCUCGUAGGCGGUCUGUCGCGUCGGCUGUGAAAACUCGGGGCUCAACUCCGAGCUUGCAGUCGAUACGGGCAGGCUAGAGUUCGGCAGGGGAGACUGGAAUUCCUGGUGUAGCGGUGAAAUGCGCAGAUAUCAGGAGGAACACCGGUGGCGAAGGCGGGUCUCUGGGCCGAUACUGACGCUGAGGAGCGAAAGCGUGGGGAGCGAACAGG